GUCCCUGUAGCGCAAUGGAUAGCGCGUUGGACUUCUAAUCCAAAAGUCGUGGGUUCGAAUCCCACCGGGAAUG
RNAcentral lists this transfer RNA (73 nucleotides) under Trichonephila inaurata madagascariensis. It matches the Rfam family "tRNA". Rfam says of the family: Transfer RNA (tRNA) molecules are approximately 80 nucleotides in length. Their secondary structure includes four short double-helical elements and three loops (D, anti-codon, and T loops). The record is from Rfam by way of RNAcentral. Lineage: Eukaryota; Metazoa; Arthropoda; Arachnida; Araneae; Nephilidae.